AAUAGAUACCCUGGUAGUCCACGCCCUAAACGAUGUCGACUAGGUGUUGGGGAAGGAGACUUCCUUAGUACCGCAGCUAACGCGUGAAGUCGACCGCCUGGGGAGUACGGUCGCAAGAUUAAAACUCAAAGGAAUUGACGGGGACCCGCACAAGCGGUGGAUGAUGUGGAUUAACUCGAUGCAACGCGAAAAACCUUACCUACCCUUGACAUGUACGGAAGUCCGCUGAGAGGUGGAUGUGCCCGAAAGGGAGCCGUAACACAGGUGCUGCAUGGCUGUCGUCAGCUCGUGUCGUGAGAUGUUGGGUUAAGUCCCGCAACGAGCGCAACCCUUGCCAUUAGUUGCCACAUUCAGUUGGGCACUCUAAUGGGACUGCCGGUGACAAACCGGAGGAAGGUGGGGAUGACGUCAAGUCCUCAUGGCCCUUAUGGGUAAGGCCUCACACGUCAUACAAUGGCGCGUACAGAGGGGUUUGCCAAACCCGGCGAGGGGGGGUAAGCCAAAUCCCAGAAAAGCGCGUCGUAGUCCGGAUUGGAGUCUGCAACUCGACUCC
Molecule: ribosomal RNA, 553 nt
Filed under: uncultured bacterium
Lineage: Bacteria
Description: bacterial SSU rRNA
Rfam family: Bacterial small subunit ribosomal RNA
Source: RNAcentral